This 450-nucleotide ribosomal RNA is filed under the name uncultured bacterium. RNAcentral describes it as "partial 16S ribosomal RNA". It matches the Rfam family "Bacterial small subunit ribosomal RNA", at positions 354 to 796 of the family's 1533-position model. The record is from RNAcentral.
GUGGGGAAUUUUGGACAAUGGGCGCAAGCCUGAUCCAGCAAUGCCGCGUGCAGGAAGAAGGCCUUCGGGUUGUAAACUGCUUUUGUACGGAACGAAACGGUCCUGGUUAAUACCUGGGGCUAAUGACGGUACCGUAAGAAUAAGCACCGGCUAACUACGUGCCAGCAGCCGCGGUAAUACGUAGGGUGCGAGCGUUAAUCGGAAUUACUGGGCGUAAAGCGUGCGCAGGCGGUGCUGUAAGACAGGCGUGAAAUCCCCGGGCUCAACCUGGGAAUGGCGCUUGUGACUGCAAAGCUGGAGUGCGGCAGAGGGGGAUGGAAUUCCGCGUGUAGCAGUGAAAUGCGUAGAUAUGCGGAGGAACACCGAUGGCGAAGGCAAUCCCCUGGGCCUGCACUGACGCUCAUGCACGAAAGCGUGGGGAGCAAACAGGAUUAGAAACCCCUGUAGUCC